CGCGCCCCGGCGCCCCCUCGCCCGCCCCGGAAUUCCCCGCAGGGCGCCCUUGGAAGCGGCCCUCCCCCACGCCGGCCGUUGUCCCAGGACCUCGUCACCCCCUUCGGCGUGCGCCCCUCGCUUCUCCCUCCUGGCCCCGCCCCCUCGCCGUUGCCCGGCCCCGCCCCCUGGCCGCUCGCGCCCCCUCGGUCUCGCGUUCCCUCCCGUUCCCCCGCACCUGCCCCCUCGCAUCUCCGUCCUGGCCCCGCCCCUCUCAUUUCCAUUCAUGGCCACGCCCCUUGCAUCUCCUUCCCUGGCCCCGCCCCUCGCUUCUCUUUUCCUGGCCCCGCCCCUUGCAUCUCCUUCCAGGCCCUUUCCCCUCACCUCUCCCCGGCUCGGCCCCUUGCCUCUCGCUUCCCUUCCUCUCCCUAGCACCUGACCCCUCGCUUCUCCCCCCAGGCCCCGCCCCCUUGCCUUUCACCUCCAUCCCUGUGGUCCUUUCUCUUCCCCACCUUUCCUCCCCAAACCUGACCCCGCCCAUCUCUCUGGCCCCACCCCCUCGCUCCUCUCUGCUCCCGCCUCCUAACUUUCUGUCCCCGCCCCCUCGCUUCUCCCUGCGUCCAGCUCCCUCGCUUCUCUCUGGUCCCGCCUCCUCACUUCUUUCCUAGCCUGGGCCCUCACUUCUUCCUGGUCCCGCCUCCUCACUUCUUUCCUAGCAUCGGCCCUCACUUCUUCCUGGUCCCGCCCCCUUGCUUCUCUCCUUUUUUUCUCCUCCGCCGUUUUUACCCCCUCCCUCCUUCUCCUCGCUUCCCAUCCUCUCCGCCCACCUGCCCCCUCGCUUUUCCCUCCUGGCCUUGCCUCUGUUCCCCUGGUCCCAUCCCUCACUUCUCACCACUUUCCCAUCAUCUCUCUUGCUUUCCUGUUUUCCCUCCCACCUGCUCCCUCCCCUCAUCCUCCUGGUCUUUCCCACCACUUCCAAGCUAUUUUGCUACCUCCCCUUCCACUUGCCCCCUUGCUUCUCCCCUCCUGCCCCCACCCACCCUCUUCUCACUCCCCCAUCCUCUUUCGUUUCUCCCUCACCCCCCCACACCGUCCUCCUCCCUUCUUCCCCUAGCCCCGCCCCUCACUUUCAAGCCCCGCCCUCAUUCCUGCCUAGCCCCGCCCCCUCGCUGCUGUCUGGCGAGGCCUCCACCCUUUCUUUCCUUCAGCCUGAAAUUCCUCAAUCCUAUCUUGUAGCUGCUCCCAGUCCUGCUCUCUUCACUUCCCCCUGGUCCAGCCCUCUUCAGUCUCAGUCUGGGCCACUUCCUGUCUCUUAGGCCAGACCGCUAGCUACUUUUAACUCUGCUUCUUCAAUUUUUACCUUUUCUGCAUUUUGUUUCACCAUCACCCCCACACUCAGCAACCCAGAGCGCCGUGAGGCUCUGAUCCCUACUCCCACACUCACUGGAGGCUUUGGAAGCUGCCCACACGCAGGCUCCUUGAUUCAUUUUGUCUUCAAUGAAAAGUCCGUGUUUCCUGGGUGGCUCUGUAGUGCCACCUUCAAGGGUGAGCGCAACGCUCUGCCGCGGGCCUGCGACUUGGUGGCGCGGAUGUGAUGCCAACCUGUUUCCCCCCGGGCUCCAGAGGUUCUGGACCAGGCUGCAUCCUCGUCUUCCCUUUCUCACUCUCAUUGGUACUACUCUCUUUCCAGUUUCAAUUCAUCCCUAAAGCAGGAUGGCCGUGUUGCAAAUGCGGCUCUGCUCCGGGACUUUCCAAACUCGAAUAUUUCCAGCUCUGGAAGGAAACUAAAAAGUUCAUUCUAAUCCCCGUCAGGGAUUUUCCCCUGGAUUUUUCUGUUCAGUGGCUCAGUCGGGUGAGAACUCCAAAGUCCUGGUUUGGUCAGGUCCUUUCAAAGAGAGAAUGAGCGUUUUGAACACUUUAUGGCAGAUGCGCAGCCAUAAAGUCAUCGGUAAAAUCCAUGCAAACAAUAGGUAAUUUUUUUAAACUAAAAUUUACUUUGAGAGCCCAUAGUUGUUGCAUGGCCCAACUUUUGUCUUAAGAGAAGGUUUUGUUUUUUUGUAUAAAGAUAUCAAAUAAUGAUUUGGACCCAAACCCAGACCCUGGUUUUGUAACGUAGGAGGUAGUUUCCUCUGGGAUCUUUGCUUCUGGGGAAAUACAUUUCUUUAUGCCAGGGCUGAUAGGAAACGCUUCUCACUUUGUAGAUACAAUGUAGAUACAUUUUUAUUUAUGUGGUAAGAUAAAAGUAACAUUUUUGAGAUUGUAAUACUUGUAAAGCUUUUAACUUGGUUCUGAUUUACAGCUCAGUCUGUAAUUGACAUCAGAUUGGUUUCAGUUAUCUUGUUAAAAGCGAAAGCAACUGAUUUUGUGUUAGAAAUAUGAUGAAUGUUUUAGAAGGAAUAGGUUUUAAUUGAAAUGUUUAUGUCUGGUGUAUGUAUAUUAAUCAAUCCUAUUUGCCAAGCCUGAGCCUUGAAAGGGAGGACUUGGUUUCUCCUCCUACCAAAUUAUUUUUGGAUUUAGGAAUUUAGAUUAUCGAAGCAAGAAUGCUUUGAGGAAUUUUUGGAUGACAUUUGAUAGGGAAGGAUCAGGUGAUGAGUGUUGUUUCUGAAACACCUUUUCCCUUUCCCUUUCCCUUUCAGUAGAUGUUAUGAAUGGUUUGAGAGGAUUUGUGAGUGUGAUCAUCCUUACAAUAGGAUUGCGGUUUAGCGGUAAUGGUACACAUGCAAUGCCAGUACGUGGAACCUUAGUUUACCUCGAAAGGUUUGAACUAGAAGUUUGUUGACGGUGGAAUAGGUUUUAGUCUCAUCUUUCUGGUUAAGGGAAGUUUGAAUUCUCACUUCUGGGAUGUUGAGAAGCAAUCUUUCAAAAUUUGAAUACUUUUGUUACAGGUUUCAGAGUUUAUUUCCAUGUUUGUUAUUUGGAAAAAAAAAAAAGACUGUUAAAAAUGAGGGAUAUUUCAACCAGUCAAUGAAUAGACACAGAGCGAAAUUCAGUGCAAAGAUAGUGAAGAUGGCCUGGCGCCGUGGCUCACGCCUGAAUCCCAGCACUUUGGGAGGCUGAGGCAGAUCACGAGGUCAGGAGGUUGAGACCAUCCUGGCUAACACGGUGAAACCCCGUCUCUACUAGAAAUACAAAAAAUUAGCUGGGCGCGGUGGCUCACACCUGUAAUCUCAGCACUUUGGGAGGCUGAGGUGGGGCGGAUCACGAGGUCAGGAGAUUGAGACCAUCCUGACUAACACAGUGAAACCUCGUCUCUAGUAGAAAUACAAAAAAUUAGCUGGGUGUGGUGGCGGGCGCCUGUAGUCCCAGCUACUGGGUAGGCUGAGGCAGGAGAAUGGCUUGAACCUGGGAGGUGGAGCUUGCAGUGAACCGAGAUUGUGCCACUGCACUUCAGCCUGGGCAACAGAGUGAGACUCUGUCUCAAAAAAAAAAAAAAAAAAAAAAAGGAUACUGAAGAUACUACAUUUAGAACUUUGGGGUCCACGAUUCUAUUUGGGGGUGAAUAGGGCAUUAGAUUUACAGUUAGGAGACCUAGAUUCUAGACAGAUUUCUCAUUAACUACAUGUUACGGAACAAGUUAUUUAACCUUUUUGGGUCUCAGUUUCUUUAUAUAUCAAAUGAGAUUUCAGCUCCAUUAUAAUACUCUUUGAUCCUCCUUCUCACAGGAUAUAUCAAUUUAGCUACCUACUUAUUUCAAAUUACUGUUGGGCACUUGGGCUUAGUGGUAUUCUUAAUCCUGAUAUUCAGAAAAUUGUGUUGGAGUGUAGCACAUGUGUUUGAUUUAUGCCAAGCAUUAAUUUUGUGUAUUGAUUACAUUUAUGACUUUAUUUCUUCAUGUGGGAUUGUUUUUGAAAACUGUUGGGUAAUAUGUUGAACUGCUUUGGCAACCUGGUCUAAACAGUAGAAGAAUAUUUGAGCCUUUGUAUUUAAAAUAAUAACAUUUUAACGAAUGUUUUUGUGGUAUUUUAGUAGGAAAAUAGUUUUUAAAUGGUUUCAGUAGGUUUAGGGGCAUAAUAUAUCCAGAAUCAAGUGAUCUUUUGUUAAAGAGCAUUAUCUUGUAGUCAUUGGAGUUCACUGGCAAAUCAAACACUUUAGAAACAUUUUGAUUGAAAAAUCAAGCAGGAUUUGCAAAAACUUUGUUCUUAUCUGGUACACAAAUGAAUCCCAGACACAUUGUUUAGGCCACUUUGGGUAAAAGAAUGGAAUUCAGGGUUCUACAAUGCUCUUCAAGAAAAUUAAAUUUUAUUGUAAUGUCAACCAAUUAGUUGAAAUACAAGUGCCUAAACUUUUUUGUGCUUUUAUGCAUUGAAAUACUCUCAGAUAUCCUGGUGUUUUUAUAUCUUUUGGAGCAUGACUGCAUAUUGUGAAGUAAGAAAAACUCUAAUUCCAAACAGAGAGGAACAAAGAGACUUUCCUUGAUAGCAUGUGGAAAUAUGAGGUUGUUUUUAAAAUUGUAGCUUGUGGGAUGUAAGGGUGACUUGUGUUUUGGCAUUCAGAUGGUGCAACUGUGAGUGAAAUAGUUGUGGUAAUAGCUGUUGAUGAUGUUGGUUGAUGAAUUACAGGUGUCUCAAUUGAUUCAAAAUAGUUAAGUCUCUCAAGAAAGAUUAAGAAAAUUGUUAAGACUGUUGACUUUGUCAAUUUGUACCAGCUAAGAACCUCACUUAUGUGAGGCAGGCAAAACUUUUGUUUCAAAAACCAUAUAACACAGUUGCUGUGAUAAGAUGGAAUAAGUGGUCAGUUUUUAGCUCCCUUUGCAUUUACAUUUUCCUUAGGGUCUGCCUCAAGUUUAGGAAGAUACAGUUAAGGCAGUUCUUUGAGAUGAAUUAUUGGAAGGUGUAGGAUGGGUUAGAACAAAUGCUGUUGCAAAACUUGAAUUGCAAUUAUACUUUAAGAAGAAUCACAUUCUGCCAAAUAGAGGUUUUUGUCAUUGAUUUUGUGAUUUGAUCACAUUUGUGUUGCCUUUUAGAACAACUUUCUUUUUUCAAAUCCAUUUUUUUUUCCUUUUAAUCUUCUUGGCCCACCCAACUGACUUUAGACAUGAAAUCUUUCAUAUGCUUUAUUUCUAUCUCCAUUUUUACAGUAGUUGUGAUUUAUCAAACUAGGAUUUUUAACUUCAAGUCCAUCUGUCAGAGUUUAAAACCUCUAGUCUUGCAGUUACAAAAGUCCUUUCUGAAUGUUGGGUUUUUCUUUCUCUUCCACACAUUUUCAUUUUCUCGGUUCAGUCACAAUGUCAGGUUCUAGUGUGGAAAAUUGGGUGAAAGAAAGGUUUUGGAGGCUGUGUUAUUUAUGAAAUAUUUCCUCAUGGAUUAAGAAAGAAAAAAAGACAAAACGACAAAUAGUGUUUCAAUAUCACCUCAGUGAUCCAGUUAACUAGACUGGCUGUUUUGUACAACAUCGUGGGCACUGGUUAACAGUUAAAAUAGCUGAAUUGUGCGUUUUAUUCAGUGGUUCAAAAAAGCCUCAAAUGGAUGAAAUAACUUGAUAUCUUCGCCAUGCUCUGAUUUGCUGGGUAAGACAGCUAACUUUUAGGAUGCUUAUUUGGAUCAAUUUUUUAUAAUUUCAAAACCAUUUUAGAGGCUAAUUUUUUUUUAAACAAGGAAUAUACAAUUUUUUUUUUUUGUCACUGAACAAGUUUUAAAUUACUGGUUUGUUAUUUUGUAAGUGAAUUUGUAAGUGAAAGCCUCCAACUUAAAUUAGCUUCUUGUCCAGGGAACUCAUUCUGACUGACUAAAGUCCCUAAGGCCUUUCUAGUUAAAGGAAAGCCAUGGAGCUAUGUUUAAAAAACAAAAGCACAUAGCUAUGGGGCUUGGGCAUAUCUUCUUUUUAAAAUGUCACUAUUACUGUUUUGUCUCCAGAUGCAAUUUAAUCCAUUUAGAUAUUUAAACCAAGUGGAAUGUUGUUUCCACAUUUCUGGACUAAUGGGGGAAAAAACACCCUCAUAUUGUUUUAAAACAAGGCUUAAAUAAUGUAUAAUCAGCGCGUCUGGUGACGCGCCCCACUCUGUAAUUCCAGCUGUGUUCACCUCCACUGCAGCUGAAAGGAAUUCUAAUUGGCUGAGGAAUGUCGGCAACAUCGUUUAUCACUGAGCAGGAACCUAUCCUCCUGGCUGCUGGGUGAUGCAUUUCAGAUGUUUUAAGCUCCGGAGCCCAACUUGCAGCUUGCUUUCAGGAGUCUGGAGGAGCAUGUCACGAAGCUGCAGAUUGUAGAUGGCAGCCUGCGUUCUUUGUAUGUUGGGCAUCCGCUGAGUUCUCUAAAGGGCAUGAUGCUUUCCUGUGGUUCCAACACUGGACUGGGGAUCAGAAGGUCUGAAUUUGAUUUCUAAUUCACACAAGUACCACAAUGAAGAAAGGGGAGGGGGUGCAUAGGAUUAUGAUCUUUUCAUGAUUCAGUUUUCCUAUCUUUAAUGCCAGAGAUCUGUCUUUUUAGAGCACAAAAGGACCUGCUAGAGAUGGAUUAAAUAUUUUAAUGAGUAGUUAUGAAUUAUUUAUAGAGUAGCACAGUAUUAAUACAGUCAUAGAUUCCUGUUAUGUCUUAUUCCUAAAUAGCCAGGUAAAUAAUAAAGCUAAUAACGUACUUUGACAUUGAAGAAAAUCUAUAGAACCGGUUAAUAAACAUGGAAAAAUAAUACAAUGAAUUGAUAAAUUAUGUAUUCAGAAAUUCCUUAGAGAAAUAGUGUUAGAAGCCAAAACCAGUAUUAUCUUUAUUUUUAUUUUAUGUUUUUCCCAGGCCAGGUAAUGUGCCAUCGGACAGUAUCAUGUUUAUUUUUUGUUUUGUUUGGAGAUGGGGUCUCACUCUGUUACCCAGACUGGGGUGCAGUGGCACCAUAACAGCUCACUGCAGCCUCGACUUCUUGGGCUCCAGUGAUCCUCCCACCUCAGCCUCCCGAGUAGCUGAGACCACAGGCAUGUGCCACCACGGCUGGCUAAUCAUUGUAGUUUUGGUAGAGAUGGGGUUUCGCCCUGUUGCCCGGCUGGUCUUGAAUUCCUGAGCUCAAGCAAUCCACCUGCCUCAGCCUCCCAAAGUACGUGGAUUACAGGCAUGAGCCACUGCACCUAGCCAGCAUCAUCUUUAAAUGAUGAAAUUGUGGAAACAUUCCCAUUAAAAUCAGGAACAAUGCAGGGAUGUACACUGUCAAAAUAGUUAUUAUUAAUAACUAGAGAAAGACAUCAGAAAGCAGGAAACAAAAUUGCUGUUAUUUAUAGACGUUAUGAUAUAUCUUUAAAAGCCCAAAAGAUCAGCUGAAAAACACUUAUAAACAAUAAAAAACUUUAGCUGGAUGGAAAAUUUCUCCAUGGCAAAAAAUAGGAUAAAAUCAACAUGCAAAGACAAACUAGGAACAACAAUCUGUAAUGGAUACGAAAAUGAAAGUCUGGUUUUCCUAAUAUAUAAAGAGCCUUCAAAAUCAAUUAGGAAAAGGCCAGUACCUAAUAGGCAAAGAAUAUGGACAAUUCACAGAAAAGAAAAUGGAAAUGGAUUUGAAACAUGUGAAAAGACAACCCUAUUUUCUCUCUUCUUCUUUCCUUUUCUUCUUUAGAGAUGGGGUCUUGCUCUGUCGCCCAGGCUAGGCUAGAGUACACUGGCGUGAUCAUAGCUCACUGCAGCCUGGAACUCCUGGGCUCAAGCGAUCAUCAGCUUCCUGAGUAGCUGGGACUGCAAGUAUAUGCCGCUGUGCCCUGUUCUCUCUUAUGCCCAUUUUCUUUCUCUAAAAAUUUAUUUUUAAUUGAUAAUCAGCCCUAUUCAUACUAAACAAACUACAAAUUAAAAGUAAGAAUGAAACAAUUUUUCAUCUAGAAGAGUGGCAGAUCAAAGAGAUUGAAAAUCUUCUGUGAUGAGACAAGAGUGUGGAAAAACAGGUCUUUUACUCUAGUGGUUGAGAAUAUAAAUUGAUAGAGUAGGUACCAAGAGCAGUUUGGCACUGUCUAUCAGAUCAUAAAUGUUUAUGCUCUUUGAUCUAGCAAUUCUGCAUGUAGGACUUUUUUCUUAUGGGUGUUUUCACACAUUUAUGUAAAGUCCGGUGUGUAAAAUCAUUGCAGCAUUGUUUGAAAUUAUAAAAGACUGAAAUCAAUGUGAAUGUGUAUCAGCAGGGACUAGUUAAGUAAAUUAUCGUGUAUUCCCAAUGAUGUGUAGCUGUAACAUAAUAAGAUAGUGUUUUAUAUUCUGAUAUGGAACAUUCUCCAAGAUAUAUUAUUGAGUGGGGGGAAAAAGCAUGAUUCAAAACAGAGGCUAGUGUGUGUACUAUUUGAAUAAUAAAACAAGAAAUAAAAAUAAAGGGGGAAAUCUAUAGAUAGGUCUGUAUAGAAUACGACUGAAAGAUUUUGACUGUUGAUUUCCUUUGAAGAGAUUCUCCUGUUCUCCUCUUCAGAGGAAAGAGAGAGGAGAGAGGGAGAGAGGAGAGAAAAGAGAGAAGAGAGGGUGACUUUUCAUUAUAUGCCUUUUGUAAUAUUUAAUCUCCUCCCUUUUCUCACCCCCUUGAGCAUGUAUUGCUUUUCAACAAUUAAAAAGAUUAAAAAGCUCUUAAAUAGAUAAGAAUUUCUUAGAGCAACUAGUAAGUACACUAACUGCCAAUUGUUUUGAAAUGUAGACAUUCUGAAAAAUCAAAAUGAUUGUGCCGAAUGUAUUUUAAAAGGCUAAAAUAUUAUAGCAUUUCAAAGUACAUACUCAUAUUUAUAAGGACUUCCUCACUAGGAAGAUUCCUGGGUUCUACAGAAUAAAAUUCUUGGCUACUUGUCUUAUAGCUCUGAACAGACUUAUUUUCCCAGAGAGUAUGUUUAUUAUGUAAUAGCGAGUUGCCUGACCCCCCAAAAAGCUUGUUCUAUCAUAUUAAAAUAAGGCAAAAUGAUUACUUUCAGAUUAAGAAAUUUGGACUCUAGAUCUUGUUUAUAUAGUGAGUUCUUUAAAAAACUGAGGUCUUGGUUCUGAAUAAUAGUGGUUUACAUAAUUUAUUUAGAAUGUCAUUUGGGGUUAUCUCUGACCUAUUUUUAUAAAAUAAUCUCAUCUUUAAAAUAGGAGUAAAAUGCUCAUUUGCAUAAGCCAGUAAUAAUAAUUUAGUAUUUUUCCAAGUAUUUAUAGUCAAUGUGUUUGCCAUGAACUUUUUUAAGGGAUUGUUUUUAAUUUUAGAAGUGCUUUAAAAAGCAAUAUUGGCAUCUGGCUCUGUAGAAGUAGAAAACAUGGUAACUUCAAUGUGAUAUAUUUGCUUUUUUCCCCUCUUAGGUCUUUGGGGUAAAAAAAAUCCAAAGUUUACUCAAUUUUAUUUCUACAUAUAUUACCUACAAAUUAUAGAGGUGAGACCUGCUUGCUGCCUGUUCAUACCUGUCAGUGAUACUAAUACCUCCCGUCUGUACAGUGUUUCAUAGUUUCCAAAGGGUUCUCGCGUGGUUCCUCACUUGAGCCUGGUGAGGAAAUACCUGUAAACAUGGGUAGAAGUUUUAGUCCCUUGUAAAACUCUGGUAUAAUAUCAAAACCAGGAAAUUGUUCACAGAUUCUAAGGAUUGGGGAAAAGAGAAAAAUAAACAAAUUGCUCAGGAGUAGAAUUUGCAAAAAAAAACGAAACAAAACCAAAAAACUCUGGAAAUAAGGCACGUUUAGCCUUACAGAGCGAGACCCUGUCUCAAAAAAAAAAAAAAAAAAAAGUGGGUGGAGAAGCACUUUUCCUGAUCUAGAUCAAGAAAUAGAAUAUUGCUGGUGCUUGGAAUGUCCCUACAAUCCUGAAAAUAGCUCAUUCUCACUUUCUACCUCCCUCAGCCGCACCCCCCUGGCAAAGAUAACCACAGUCCUGACUUGUAACAGCCUGUUUUUGAACUUUGUAUUAAUGGAAUCUUACUGCAUGCAACUGGUUUCUUUUGUUCAAUGUUAUUUUUGUGAGAUUUAUCCGUAUUGUUAUGUGUGGUUGUACGUCAGUCAUUCUCUUUGCUGUUCAAUAUCCCAUUAUGGGCAUAUACCAUAAUUUAUCCCUUUAUCUGUUGAUGGGCAGAGUCCUUUCUAGUUUUGGCUUUUAAGACUAGUGCUGUUUGGAAUUUUCAGGUAUAUGUCUUUUGGUGAGUAUUUGCAUACACUUCUGUUGGGUGUAUACUCAGGAGUAGAGUCACUGGACUGUGGAAUAGGCAUAUGUUCAACUGUAAUGAAACUUGCCAAAUGCUUUUCCGAAGUGGUUAUACCAAUUUACAUUUUCCACCAGUGGCGUAUGAGAGUUCCAGGUGCUCCUUUGCCAAUCUGCGUGUUUUCUUUUUCAUUUUAACCCUUUCCUUGAGUGUGGAUUGGUGUCACAUAUUGUGGUUCUACUUUCUUUUUUCUCUAAUCUAUACCUUAAAUGGCAGCCUUAGAGACCUUUUUUUUUUCUUUUUUAAUUUUGAAGUAAUGAUAGAUUCACAGGAGAUGGGAGAGAAAUGUACCGGGAGGUCCUGUGUACCCUUCACUCAGCCUCCCCCAAUUUUAGUGUUUUGUAUAACUGUGGCAUGUCAAAACCAGGAACUUGUUCAUGGGUUCUAACGAUAGGGAAAAAGUAAGGGCAAAAUAAUGCAAGCAAAAAGACCCGGGAAACUAACUGUUUACAUUGGUGCAAUCCAGAGCUUAGUCAGAUUUCACUAGCUCCGCGUGCACUGCGUGUGGGUGGGGUGUGUGUGUGUGUAGCAGUCUAUGCAGUUUGAUCCCAUGUACAAAUUCAUAUCACCACCAUUGCAAUCAAGAUGACCAGCUGCACCACCACCCCAGCCUCCUUGGAGCUAUCCCUUUCUAGCCGCAUCCACCCAUCCCCAGUCCCUGGGACCCUGGCAACCACUAAACUGUCACCCCCAAAUCUUUUAAGAGCAUAAAUCAGAUCAUGUCAUUUCCUUCCUUAAAGCCCUCCAGCAGCUCCCUACUCAGAAUAAAAUCAAACUCCCUCUGUGAUCCUGCCAUAUUCCUCUCUGGCAGCCUCUGUGCCAGGUUCUGCCUUAUUCUCCACCCCAGUCCUCAAAUGUGGCGAGUUUAAUCCUGCUUAAGGGCUUUUGCAUGAAUUAUUCCUCUGUGUGUGUGUGUGUGUGUGUGUGUGUCCGUGUGUCUGUGUGAUGUUAUAAUACUCUUCCUCUUGACUUCUCAAUGGCUUCUUCCUGUCAUUCAGGCCUUCAGCCUAAAUAAAUAUCAUCACCUCAGGGAUACCCUCCCUGACCAUCCCUUCAUAGUCCCUCCCUCACUCACGAUCAGGCAGCCUAUUCUGCUGUCUUCAUAGCACUCACCACUUCAUGGUAUUUUUGUUUGGUUAUUCUCCCAUCAUCCAUCUACCAAUGUCCAAUCAAUUUUUAUUUUCUGUCUCUGCUCUUGGUAGUCAAGUUCCGUGAAGCUAGGGUCCUUGCUGUCUGUUUACUUCUGUAUCCCCUUCAACACUGCUUGGCACCUGCUGGUGCUCACAAAUACCUGGUGAAUGAGAGAAUUAAUGCCCUCCUUGUUUAUUGGGUCUCCUGGUCGCCUCUGAGUUGGGCGUCGGAGGACACCUCUCCUGGAGGCAGCAUUGCGUUCAUAGCCACUUCUUGUUGAUAUGAGCAGGGAUUAGAGAUCAAGCAAUUACAGGUUGUUGUCAGCCAGGCUUGGGGUUUCUUUGACUAUGUGAUACCCUAAAAGGCAAGUCUACUCUAUCUUGGGCUUCUGGGCCAUUCCAGGGGCUUGAACCAAAGCCCGAAAUUUUAAUUCUGGAAUUUGGCCCAGCUUUGUAGCUUUUGGUUUCCAGGUCUUUUCCUUAGCCUCUCCCUCAGGGCUGGCGGGGAUAACUGGUUGGGCUGGAGAGACAUCAUUCAUUUGCCCCUUGCCCAAGCUUUGCGGUUGCAUCUUGAAUAACGUUUCCCAUUUUCAGGCUGUGAAUACUGGACCUGAGUGCUUGGGAGAGACCUGGGGAAGCCUUCUUUUGCUCACCCUACCCCACAGCCUUAUCUCCUGCUAAGUCUUCCCUCCCUUUCUUUCUUCAUCCUAUCUCUUGGUUCCCCUAGAUUGCAUUUUGUAGCAGAAAGGGCCUCUUUUCCUCCCUCUUCACUGCAUUUUCUUUGAGACAGGAUCUUGUUCUGUCGCCCAGGCUGGAGUACAAUGGCACAGUCAUAGCCCACUGCAGCCUCAAACUCCUGGGCUCAAGUCAUCCCCACCUCAGCAUGAGCCACCAUGCCCAGCUAAUUUUUAAACUUUUUGUAGAGACAGGGUCUCACUAUAUUGCCCAGGCUUGUCCAGAACUCCUGGCUUCAAGCGAUCCUCCCAUCUUGGUCUCCCAAAGUACUAGGAUUACAGGCAAGAACCACCCACCUACCCAUUUCCUUGAUUCUUUCCUACCAAGUCCCUUAGUGUUCCUUGUAGUCUUGGUGGUUGCAUCAGACCACAGUCUGAUUGUUUCUUUCCCUGAUAAUAAAGAUAGUUAAAUUCUCAGGCCGGGUGAGGAGGGUAUUCAUUGAUUUUUCACCCUGCCUCCUUUCUUCAGCUAAUUUCCACAUUUUUAAUUCUGUCUUUUAUGUACAAUAUCGCACUUCCUAAUGUUGUUGUUGUUUAAAAGCAGGAUACCUUCAGAUGUAAGUAGCAGAAAACCUAGGUUAAAUUAGCUCAAUAGAGAGAAUUUUAGUGACUUCACUGAAAAGCCCAAGUCAUUCCAAUGGCAAAGCAAGGACCUGGUUUCUCUCUAUAUCUCAGUGUUUUGACCUCAGCACUAUUCAUGACCAUCUCUUCCCCUUGUGCUCAAAAGCUCCAUGGCUGUUUGCUUGCAGCUUUAAAUCCAGCAGAAAAGUUAAAAGUCUGCUUCUUCAACAGCUCAGUCCUGGGGUAGAAGGCCUGGAGUUGAAUCCUCUUGUCUCAUUGGCCUAAUUUGGGUCAAGUGUUCAUUGCUGAACCAACCGCUGUGGCUGGGAUGAUGGGAUGUGCUCGUUGGACAAUUAGGUUCCAUCUUUGAAUCUAAUCAGGGGGUUAGUCCCACCCACAAUACAGACUUGGGUUGUUUGGGGGAACAGGAAUAUGGAUGCCAGGUGGGCAAUCAAUAAAUAACUAGAUGAUACCGAUUGUUUUCUUUUAAAAUUUAUAAUGUUAGCUUCAUUAUGCUGAGUAAAAGGAAGGUACAGCUACCAUUUAAUGCACUUCUGAAAAAGAAGUAUACCUUCUUUGUGGUAGUAUGAAGCAAAAGAUUUGGUAAAAGUGCCAAGAAUUUUUGACCAAGGGUUAGGAGUGGUACCUUUAUAUGUGAACUUAGCCCCAUAAAUUUUGUUGUCAAUUUGUAUUGCAGAAUGUUCCUGGAUUGUUGUAUAAUGUUAUUUGGGACUUUUUGUUUUUCUUUUUGGAGACGGAGUUUCACUUUUGUCACCCAGGCUGGAGUGCAGUGGUGUGAUCUUAGCUCACUGCAAUCUCUGCCUUCUGGGUUCAAGUGAUUCUCCUGCCUCAGCCUCCCAAGUAGCUGGAACUACAGGCAUGUGCCACUGCGCCUGGCUAAUUUUUUGUAUUUUUAGUAGAGAUAGGUUUCACCAUGUUGGCCAGGCUGGCCUUGAACUCUUGACCUCAGCUGAUUGGCCCGCCUCAGCCUCCCAAAGUGCUGGGAUUACAGGUGUGAGCCACUAUGCCCAGCCUAUUUGGGAGUAUUUUUAAACAAAAUUCAGGUACAGAUUAUAGGAAUACAUUCUUAAAUUAUUUCUCUAGAGAUAACAGAGCAGUUUUAAGAGAGAGAAAUACAUGCUGAUUAUCUGUAAAUUGAAUUCAGGAUGUGUAGAAAGAAAAAUAAUUUAGUUUUUAUGCAAUAAUAUGAUUUUUAUAGGAUAGUUGAUUAUCAGCCCUACCCUAUAAUAAAUUCUUUGAAUUAAUGUCUGUUCUUGAUAUCUGGGGCUCUGUAUUUUCACUUCUAUAUUCUUAAAAAGAAAAAAAGUUUUUGUAAGAUGCUUCGCUGAAGUUCGAACCUGUGUUCCAGGAAUGGUUGAAUCCCACAGACCGCCAAGCUCUUCCGUUUGUGGAAUCAGCAAGGUGGAAUGAUGAAGGGCUCGGCUGGAGCCAGCCUGUGCCUUUACACAAAUGACAUCAUUUCUUAGUUUCCUUAGCUAUAAAAAUGGGGGAAGGCUGGGUACAGUGGCUCACACCCGUAAUCCCAAUAUUUGGGGAGGUUGAGGUGGAAGGAUCACUUGAGCCCAGGAGUUUGAGACCAGCUGGGGCAACACAGCAAGACCCUAUCUAUACAAAAAUAGAAAAAAAUUAGCUGGGCAUAGUGGUGCACACCUGUAGUCCCAGCUACUUGGGAGCUGAGGUGGGAGAAUUGUUUGAGCUCAAGAGGUUGAGGCUACAAUGAGCUGUGAUUGUGCCACUGCACUCUAGCCUGGGUGACAGGGUGAGACCAUCUUAAAAUAAUAACAUAACGUAAAAAUGGGGAAAUAACUGGAAUCACUUCAGUGUUGUUGUGGGUAGUAAAUGAAAUAAUCCACAUGCACUGUCUGGUACAUAAUGUGUUCAAUAUGUGUUAGCUAAUAGUAACAUGGUCUUAUUUCAAUGAAUCUAAGAUGACCGCUUGCAAGUCAUACCAUUGUUUUAUGUACUACGUAAAAAGAAACACAGGUAAUUAUAUUGCAAAAUGUGAUUCAUUUGAAGAUUUCAAAACAUAUGAAAAAAUGUGUCUUGAAAUCAAUGAUAUAUGGUUUUAGGGCUGCCUCUGACUUGGAAGUCCUGGGAAUUGUUUGCAUACUCAUAAAUAUACACCAUCUGUCUUGGUUUAAACAUAAUAGAGUAUGAUCUAAAGUUUCUUUUCAAUUUUGUUUUUGUUCUAAACUUAACAUUGAAUUUGGCCUCGUGUUGCAACACUAGAAAUUUAAUAAUCACUCAUUUAUUCUGUAGGCUUAAAUAAUGGAUUAUAUAACACCUAAGAUUGGCUUGGCAACUUCGGUUAUUUACUUUUCUUCAGUGAUUUAGAAAAAAUAUGAGACAUGUUUUUGGACAUCGUUGCUAUUGCUUGAAUAAACCUGUUUGGGAGGUAAAGGCAGGUUAAAUGGUAGUGCCGGUAACCUCUUAGAGUAGCACGAACUAUUGGCAGAAAGCCUGCUUAGGUAAACACCUUUGAUACACCCAGCACAUUCAGUUUAGAAAGUACAAUAUUGAUAUUUGAAAGCAAUGCGUGGUAGUUGAUUUUCCACUAAAAUUUAAAUGUGGACAGGGUAUUAUAGAGCUUGAAUGAUAGUCACAGGCUAUUUAAGGACCAACUUGUAGAGUAAAAAGUUGCUAUGUAAUACGCUUAGCAUAAAUUUAGAAGUAAAACCUGCAAGGAUAGCAUAUAGCCUUGUGAGAAUGCCAUUUCCCUUAGGAGCCUGGUAUUUAGAAUGUUAUGAAUGGGAUAUUUAUUAUAAGCCUGUUUUUUUUGUAAAGGCUUGCUUUUUGAUAUUAAUAUUGAAAUGAAUUACGGAAGCCGUUUUGGGGACUUGACCUGUUUACUGACUGCGUCAUUCAUGGCUUAACCUCAUCAGCCAAAUGUCAGCAGGAUUCUGCUUUUAAGACAACCACAUGAGAACAGAUGAGCCAUUCGGUCAUCUUGUCAUAAGCCCCAGAGGCUAUCUCCUGGCACAUCUGGCAUGUGAUGUAUUUAAGUAUUAUUUGAGGGUGUUGAGUAUAAUUUUGUAAAAGACUGUACCCUGGUACAUUCCAUAUCUUAAUGCAUUCUGAAACAGCGAUAUUAUUUUUUUUUGGAAACCCCAGAGGGUUUAUUUACUGUAUUUUGCAUAGGGUUCAUCUGAACAGUACAAAAAGUACCUUUUUAUUUUAGAAAAGGAGUUUUGGUUUAGAAAAUGGAACCUGAAUUGAAAUAAAAGUAAAAUUAUUCUCAAAAGGAGACAGUUUAUCGAUUUAAGUACAUUUCGUAUCGCCUAUGUAGUAGCGUUGUUUAUAUUUAGAAUAGACGCAAGCCAGUCCACGAUCUCUCAGCAAGACUUGACAAAAGGAUAUGAUUUUGUCACAGUUACUCCCAGUGUUUCAUUUCAAGCAGUAUGAGUCAAGGAUUUGGUGUUUCUCAUACUAGAAUAAAUUGGACUUUAUUCAGGAAAAAAACCCAACUUGUUAAUUUGAAGUGCAUGUCUCAAAGCCUAAACAUUAUUUUAGUUAGUAUUUCUAAGUAGAUAAUACAUACAUAUGGUAUAAAAGGGUGAUUGUGAAAAAUAUGCCUCCUUUCCCCUCUGUCCCUUGUUAACCAGCUUGCCUCCAGAGAAAGAGCUGUUCUUUUUUUUAAUUUUAUUUUAAAUUUUUUUUAGAGAUGGGGUCUUGCUAUGUUGACCAGGCUGGUUUUGAACUCCUGGCCUCAAGUGAUCCUCCCAUCUCGGCCUUCCAAACUGCUAGGAUUACAGCCGUGAGCCACCAGGCCCGGCCGAGCUUUUCUUACCAUGGUAUUCUUGUGUUCUUCCAGAGAUUUUUUUAAAAUGCCUCUUCCUUUUCUCACUCCCUCCCUCUUUUUCUUUUAACACAGAUGGGAGCAUUGUGUGUGCAUUGUUGUAUACUUGCUUUUUGCACAUACGGAUCAGGGAUUUCUCUGUUUCCUUACCUCCUGAUCUGCCUGCGUGGCAGGAACAUUCACUAUGCAAUGACUAUCCCUGUGCUCGUCAACGUUCCCGUGUGACCUUGCAGUUAGGUGGGACCAUGUAACUACUUCUGGCUAGCAAACUGUGAGAAGUGAGUUGUCCCACUUCGGGGCUGAAGCACUAGGAACCUCCAGCUCUGCCACAGAAGCUGUGUGUCAUGUGGUGGAGCCUCUAUCAGCCUAGAUCCCUGAGUGAUUACGUGAAGCCGAAGCUGGCCCUUCCCCCCGGCCCCUGCUCAGACCCAACCUAUGCUGAACACGUAGUUGAGCAAGAAAUAAACUUCUGUUAUGUUAAUUUGUUUCUACAUCACACAGCUCCUCUUGAUAUAGCUGAUUUCUUUUUAAUAGCUGUGAAAUUCAUAACACUUUGAAUGAACCCAGUUCAGAUGAUCAAAUGCUUAAGAACAAAAAAGCAUCUAAUUAAAGAAUAAUAACUUUAAAUAUACAAAUAUCAGAUCAAUGCAUCUUAUCCCAAUGUGUUGCCACGCAAAUAUCUGUAUACAUAAUUUCUAAUUAAACUUUUUAAUUUUUUUAAAUUUAUUUUUCUGAGAUGGCGUCUCGCUCUGUCGCCCAGGCUGGAGUGCAAUGGCGCAAUCUCAGCUCACUGCAACCUCCAUCUCCUGGGUUCAAGCAAUUCUCCUGCCUCAACCUCCGAGUAGCUGGGACUACAGGCACAUGCCACCACGCCCGGCUGAUCUUUACAUUUUUAAUAGAGACAGGGUUUCACCAUGUUGGCCAGGCUGGUCUCGAACAUCUGACCUCGUGAUCCGCCUGCCUCAGCCAACCAAAGUGCUGGGAUUACAGGCGUGAACCACUGCACCCAGCCCAGCCCAUAAUUAAAAAAAAAAAAAAAGGAAUAUAUGCUUAUUGAAAAGUAUAAAGAAGAAAUAAGUACUUUAUUAUUUGAAAUGAGGCUUGAUUCUUUAAUAUUAAGGCUUAUAAUUUUUGCAUUAGAAUUUGAUAUUAAUUUUCUCGUCAUUCUAAAGGAAGAUAAAUACCAACGCCAUACAUGCUCGCUGUUCUCAUUGAAUACUACAGUCAAUAGAGAGGAGUAUUGAAAAAGACUGUCUCUACCAGAAACUUAACAGCCAUAGGGAAAUGGUACAUUCGCUAGAAACAGUUAAGUAACAAUACAAAGCGCCCCUGAGUCUAGUUGCUGGGGAGGCCAAAUGUGAACUGGCUCUAGAAAGAUCUGGGUGGGCUGAGAGACCAUGUGGUAAUAGCAUAAGCGAAGACAGAGUGGACAUGAGUCUGGCUGCUUUGCAGGUCAGACGGACAGAAGAGGUGCCAGGCAGGUAGAGGGAAGAGAGGACACUUGGCUUCUGUAGAAGUCGUGAGUUGUCGGGGAGAUUGGAUCAGGAAAUGAGAUGAUAAAUUGUAAUUUUAUAGGCCUGCUGGGUAGAAAGUAGGGACUUUUCCUUUCAUGCCCUGAGGAUAGCAUGGGAUCCAGGGACUGGAGUAGCAUGGUAACUAAGGGCCAGGUGCUGGAGGCAAGUGGCCUGGGUUCCAGUCCUGGCUUUGCCACCUUCUAGCCGUGGAAAGUGCCAGCAGGGUGCACGGGUAAGUGUAUAGGUAAUGUGAGCUGUGAUGAUGACUGCUGUUGUGCUACUUGGGAAGGAACCUGGUGACACAGAGCGACACCUAAUGAGGGAAUAGAUUAGGCCCCAUUCACAAAGUGUGUUACUGUGUUUACACAAAUGCUGGAUGAUAGUCUUUCUAGGAUGUUUCAUAAGCACUCCUUUAUUGGGCCCAAAGUUUAGACUAAGUGCUUUACAAAGGUUCUUUAAAACAAAAACAAAAACAGAAACAUUUAUUGGCUGGGCACAGUGGCUCAUGCCUGUAAUCCCAGCACUGUGGGAGGCCAAGGUGGGAGGAUGGCUUGAACCCAGGAGCUCAAGACCAGCUGGGGCAACAUAGUGAGAACCUCCCAUCUUUUAAAAAAACAAAAACAAAAAAUUAGCCAGGCAUGGUGGUGCAUGCUUGUAGUUCCAGCUACUUGGGAGGCUGAGGCAGGAGGAUCUCUUGAACCCAGGAGUUUGAGGCUGCAGUGAGCCAUGAUGGUGCUUCUGAACUCCAGCCUGGACAACAGAGUAAGACCCUGUCUCGAAUGAAUGAAUGAAUGAAUGAAUGAAUGAAUGAAUGAAAAUUUUUAUUGAAUAACUACUAUGCUCUAGGUUGUCUGGCAAGUGGAGUACUGGAUAUAAUAAACAGGGUAGAGACCAGAGGAAGUAAAUACUGUUUAUCCAUUCUGUACAUGGUUACUAAGUUAAUGUCAGGUUUCUAUUUGGCCCUUGAAAAACCACUCCAAGUAGGUGAGAAGUGUCUGUAAGUAAGUUAAAUUUUUGUAUGAUGACGGAUGUCUUGAUAAAGCGCAGUGGCAUUCAGAGGGAAGUUUAGUUGGCCCUGCCCUGGAUGUCCUUGCUUUAGUAUCUUGCUGCUUUAUUGUAACAUGCUUUCUUAAAACCUUCUUAGAAGUACUAGUUGGAUCCCAACUGUGGCUCCUCCAGUCAAUGGUAAGUUAGUAUUUGUGUAGUGACUUUUUUUUUUUUCCUUUUUGACACUGGACCUACUUCCAUUUACAGUCAGAUACUGCUUAAAACCUUUUUGUGGGCAAAGUAGGUCAAACCUAAAGUGCACAGAAGGGAACUGUUCAGGUAGAGAGGCAGAUUCUGUAGAAGCGCCUGUCCCGUUUUCCCUUCCCUGCCGUUGGAUCACUUUUGCUAGAGCUGUGCAGCCUUCAUGCCCAAAGCUUGGAGUCUCUCCAAAAGUAUUCUAGAAUGAGAUUCUGCCAAGUGCUAGCAUUAAAGCUUCAGUAUUGGGACUUUGGAGUGCCCCUUCUGCCCUUUGGCCUUUUUAAAUGGAAACUGGGCGAGGCUGGUAAGCUAUACCUUACUAUUCUAAGGUGACCACCACUUGGAGUGUGGGUUUAAGACUGCUGCCAACCUGGAUUUCCAGUACAGCUCUGCUGCUUGCUAGUGGGGUGACUUUGGACAAUAAUAAUAAAGCUAUUUGUCAAUUAUUGAAGCUCUUUACUAUUUGCCAGGCAGCAAUGAGGCCAAGCACUUUUCAUGAGUUGUAUUUCCUCCUCUUGAUAAACUCACAAGAUAGGUCGUAUUCUUGUCCCUAUUUUUGAGACGGUGAGAUGCAAUGGAGUCAGCCAACCCAGUUCCACCACAUACCAGUAGCCUUGGCCAAAUCAUGUGCUUCAUCUUUAAGCCUCAGACAAGACCUACCCCAUCAGGUUGUUGUUGCAAGGAACAAGUGAAGUAACCUGGCACCCAGCUGUUGCCCAGCACAUGUUAGGGGCUGACUUGCCUAAGGCUGCACUGAGAGUAUUUUGCAAGUGGACUAAAGUUGAACUGCUUUGGGAAGAUAUUUGGCUUCUUACUUUGUAAGUUGGAGUAAAGAUUGUUUCUAAAUCUAGUUCUUUUCCUUUUUGUCUCUAGAUUAAACUCUUACUAUAUCAUUCAGUUAGGAGCUCUCAUGUUUAGCCAACGUUCUCAGAAAGUGAUCAGUUCAAGGGCUGUGGCAUGGAGGGGAAGUGAUGCAAGCUUUAUUAUGAUACAGAUGAGUAACCAUAUAAAAUGGAAAAUAAUAUUUGUUCUCCCCACAUUCCCAUCCCCUCUUACCAACCUAAUAUUUAUCUAUCUAUCUAUUUUGAAAUAUUUGAGGCAGAGUCUCUCUCUGUCACCCAGGCUAGAGUGCAGCGGUGCAAUCAUAGCUCACUAUAGCCUCAACCUCCUGGGCUCAAGCAGAUCCUCCCACGUUGGCCUCCUGAGUAGCUGGGACUACAGGUGUGCACUACCAUGCCCGGCUAAUUGUUUAAUUUUUUAUAGAGACAGGGUCUCACAAUGUUGCCCAGGCUGGUCUCGAACUCCUGGUCUCUAGUGAUCCUCUCAGCCUCCCAAAGUGCUGGAAUUACAGGCGUAAGCCACCACGCCCUGGCCAUAAUAUUUAUUUUUUUAUUGCCAUUUAUAACUUGGCUUACACUGCUACUGGCUAUUUACUAAAAAUCAGAGCAAACUUUGCCUUAUUAUUAUGUAUUGCAUAUAUAUUUUUGAAAGGUCACUCUUGCAGUUUUACUAAAAAAAAAAUAAAUAAAAGUUUCAGUGAAUUCCGGAAGUUUGGGAAUUCUCGGUUUACGCUAGCCCUGUCCUGUGUUUCUGUUUGGCUCUGUCCUCAGGCCUUGCCACCAUUUUCUCUCGGUGAAAGAACUUGGCUUCACAUUCUGUUCAGUUUCAUGAACCUGCCUGUCACUUUGAGGCAGCGUUUGGGAUUCUGCUUCAUUAGCCUUUGAACUCAUGAACCAAGUUGAGAGGAUUUGCUACUAUAGACAAUUAUUUGAUCUUCGAGAUAUUUUGAACAGUUCCCAAGUGCAACACCAGUGGUUGUCCAAAAGACACAGAGAAGUGAUGUGAAAUUUUAAUUAUGUAAAAAAAAAAAAAAAAAAAAAAAAGAAAGAAAGAAAAAAGCCCUGUGGCAUGGUUGAUGUCAGUGCUAUGGAGUGAGCCUUUUAGUAGUGCGGUCAAGGACACUACUUUUUUUUUUUUUUUUUUUUGACACGGAAUCUCGCUCUGUCACCCAGGCUGGAGUGCAAUGGUGCCAUCUUGACUCACUGCAACAUCUGCCUCCCAGGUUCAAGCAAUUCUUCUGCCUCAGCCUCCCAAGUAGCUGGGAUUACAGGCGCCCGCCACCACACCUGGCUAAUUUUGUAUUUUUUAGUAGAGAUGAGGUUUCAUCAUGUUGGCCAGGCUGGUCUUGAACUCCUGACCUUGGGUGAUCCACCUGCCUUGGCCUCCCAAAGUGCUGAGAUUACAGGUGUGAGCCACUGCGCCCGGCCUUUUUUUUUCUUCUUCUUCUUCUUUUUUUUUUUUGAGACAGAGUCUCACUCUAUUGCCCAGGCUGGAGUGCGGUGGCCCGAUCUCGGCUUACUGCAACCUCUGCCUCCCGGGUUCAAGCGAUUCUCCUGCCUCAGCCUCCUGAGUAACUGGGAUCACAGGCAUGCGCCACCAUGCCCAGAUAAUUUUGUAUUUUUAGUAGAGAUGGGGUUUCACCAUGUUGCCCAGGCUGGCCUCGAACUCUUGACCUCAGAUGAUCCACCAGCCUCAGCCUCCCAAAGUGCUGGGAUUACAGGCGUGAGCCACCUGCCCGGCCUAACAUUUCAAAAUGCUAAAAACAGGUUCUUGUAGUCUUUUCCUUGGGUCCAGCAUCGUUUGUUGCUGACUAUAUCAAGCAGCUACCAAGAUGGCGCAGUGAAGGUGAUGCGCAGUGGAGACUGUUCCCCUCGCCGCUCCCUGGUUCCUGCAGAGAGUCCUGUUGGCAGCUCGUUGGAACAAUGGUUUUCCCCUGGAGUUUGAGGAGCUUGUCUUGGGUGUGGUGCAUCCCUACACCAUGUGUACAGUUUCCAGACUGCUAUGAUUUUAUCUCUCAGCAAUGCGCCAAGAGGUUUUAGUGAAAAUUUAAAAACCGCCAAAUCGCCUAUCAAACCGAGUUUGAAAAGAGACCUCUUGGGAAAGGACAAGCUAACUAUUCUAAGUGGUCUACGAUCCAAAGCAUUUCCUGGGCUGAGUGUUUAUCAAAGCUGAGCUUUACUUCCAAACUAAGCUUGGGAAGGAUCUGGGAGUGUUUCCCAGCUGACUGGGGGCGGGGAGAAGAGGAGGAUGCGAGUGUUAAAGAACAGAGAAAAUAUCACUCUCUUUUCUUUUACACAGUUAUCUGCUGAAAUCUGUCUAUAGAUAUGGCUUGCAAACUAGGUGUUGUUUUGGAGGAGAGAGAGGAUAGGUCUGCUAAGUGUUAAUUUAGAAAUUAUAUACAAUAUCUUAAUUUUAUUUUGGGAAUGGAACAUUGGGUAAGAUUAGCUUUUAAAUGGAUCAGCUUUACUCUUCAAGGUUAGAAAAAUGCAUAGAAAAUAGCAUUAUUUCCCUGUUAAUUGUCAUUAAUCUCAACUCACACUAUUUUUUUUUUUUUUUUUUUUUUGCUUUGACUCUUACCAUCUCAGAAUUCAAGGUCUAAAUUGACAUAUUUGGGAAGAGCAGGGUGUUGGGGAAACAGAACUGCUGAGAAGCUGCCAUUGAUGGUGAAAGACUUUAAUCUAAAUUUAGAUUCUCUUCAGAGGUUUCGUGGAAUACUUCCUUAAAUUAAGCCACAGACUGCAAAAGCUGCUGCUGAGUGGGGCUUCCAGGUUUGUUUUUUUUUUUUUUCAGCUCUAGAAAUAAAGAAGACAGGGCAGGAAGGACUGGCUCUCACUCUCGGCUUCUUUGGGAGAUUCUGCCAUUGUAGACAGAAUCAGUAGCAGCUUCUGUCAUGAAUUUAAAACUCAGGAGAGAGGAUUUGGUGGUAAUCUGAUGGAAGUGGAAAACAAUCACGACUCUGAGGGAGUGUGGGUGAAACAAGUUGCUUUGUUUAGGUUGUGUUGGAGACUGUAGGUAGUAAUAGACAAUGAUAGGACAUCUUUUUGUCUGAUGCCUGUAAGUGUACCUGGAGACUUUGAAGCCAUACUUGUUAGUUCAUUCCUGCAUUACUAUAAAGAAAUACCUGAGACUGAGUAAUUUACAAAGAAAAGAGGUUUGAUUGGCUCACGGUCCUGCAGGCUGUACACAAAGCAUGGUGUUGGCAUCUGCUUAGCUUCUGGGGAGGCCUCAGGAAGUUUCCAAUCAUAGCGGAAGACAGAGAGCAGGCAUCACAUGGUGAGGGAAGGGGUGAGGUGCCAGGCUCCUUAAACAACCAGAUCUCAUGGGAACUACCAGGGCAAGAACUGACUCAUUACCAUGGGGAUGGCACCAACCCAUUCAUGAGGGGUCUGUGCCCAUGACCCAAUAUCUCCCAGUAAGCCCCAUCUCCAGCACUGGAGGUCACAUUUCAGUAUGAGAUUUGGAGAGGACACAUAUCCAAACCGUAUCACCAUGAGUUAAACCAAUACAUCAAAUUUUUAGGGACAGUUGGAAGAUCUUCAGAGUCAAGACAAAAGAGUUGAAAAUGGGGUGUUGGACUAUAACCAUGAGUAUUUUAUACAAUCUCUCUUUCUCCUUGAAUCAUAGAAAUGGUGUUUGAAAGCUCCUUUCAAUAUAGAGAACCCCCUUACCUGUCAGUGCCCAAAGGCCCCCAACUGGGGAGAUCUGAAGUGAGAGGAGGAAGCUGCCCAGGUUUUCCUGUCCCUGGAGAGCCAUGGGUCCUGAGGAUUGGAGCUUAUCAUUGAGCAGGCUGUUGUCACAUACACAGCCUUCCAGCUUCUAUUAUGAUGCAUUGUACUGUUUAUAUAAUCUUGUAUUUGGGAAAUGCCUAAUUAUAUUUUUUAAAAUUACUCCAAUAUCUGUCACUGUUAGAUAAACACUUCUAGAAUCUCA
Homo sapiens (human) is the source of this 23844-nucleotide long non-coding RNA. RefSeq lists it as uncharacterized. Lineage: Eukaryota; Metazoa; Chordata; Mammalia; Primates; Hominidae. The record is from RefSeq and is a predicted model, not a curated record. The transcript has 2 exons.